This is a long non-coding RNA of Cervus elaphus (red deer), 261 nucleotides long. RefSeq lists it as uncharacterized. Lineage: Eukaryota; Metazoa; Chordata; Mammalia; Artiodactyla; Cervidae. The transcript is spliced from 3 exons. The record is from RefSeq and is a predicted model, not a curated record.
ACAAACCCUGCAGGUUGCUUUCCUGACUAGAUGGUGAUCAGCUUAUGCCCUGAAGCGACAGAGACGGAGACGACCAAAGUUAACAAAAUAAGGCUCCCGUAUGACUUGGUGCAGCACUAUCAGGAGUCCUUCCUGCGGAAAUUGCUAGAAAACAUAUUUUAACUAACUACGACUAGGUUAAUACCAGAGACAGGACUGGAGAGUGUACUUGGAACAUUGGUUGCUGGUAAGAAGGAACUCUUUUUUCACAAGCCACACAUG